CAGUCGCCGCGGUAAUACGUAGGGUGCGAGCGUUAAUCGGAAUUACUGGGCGUAAAGCGUGCGCAGGCGGUUGUGCAAGACAGGUGUGAAAUCCCCGGGCUUAACCUGGGAACUGCGCUUGUGACUGCACAGCUAGAGUAUGGCAGAGGGGGGCGGAAUUCCACGUGUAGCAGUGAAAUGCGUAGAGAUGUGGAGGAACACCGAUGGCGAAGGCAGCCCCCUGGGCCAAUACUGACGCUCAUGCACGAAAGCGUGGGGAGCAAACAGGAUUAGAUACCCCUGUAGUCCCUGUCUCUUAUAC
This 301-nucleotide ribosomal RNA is filed under the name uncultured bacterium. Its description in RNAcentral is "partial 16S ribosomal RNA". It matches the Rfam family "Bacterial small subunit ribosomal RNA", at positions 509 to 807 of the family's 1533-position model. The record is from RNAcentral.